Molecule: ribosomal RNA, 772 nt
Filed under: Arthrobacter sp. FWC110
Lineage: Bacteria; Bacillati; Actinomycetota; Actinomycetes; Micrococcales; Micrococcaceae
Description: bacterial SSU rRNA
Rfam family: Bacterial small subunit ribosomal RNA
Source: RNAcentral
CAGCUUGCUGGGGGAUUAGUGGCGAACGGGUGAGUAACACGUGAGUAACCUGCCCUUGACUCUGGGAUAAGCCUGGGAAACUGGGUCUAAUACCGGAUACGACCAUCUGGCGCAUGUCAUGGUGGUGGAAAGCUUUUGUGGUUUUGGAUGGACUCGCGGCCUAUCAGCUUGUUGGUGGGGUAAUGGCCUACCAAGGCGACGACGGGUAGCCGGCCUGAGAGGGUGACCGGCCACACUGGGACUGAGACACGGCCCAGACUCCUACGGGAGGCAGCAGUGGGGAAUAUUGCACAAUGGGCGCAAGCCUGAUGCAGCGACGCCGCGUGAGGGAUGACGGCCUUCGGGUUGUAAACCUCUUUCAGUAGGGAAGAAGCGAAAGUGACGGUACCUGCAGAAGAAGCGCCGGCUAACUACGUGCCAGCAGCCGCGGUAAUACGUAGGGCGCAAGCGUUAUCCGGAAUUAUUGGGCGUAAAGAGCUCGUAGGCGGUUUGUCGCGUCUGCUGUGAAAGACCGGGGCUCAACUCCGGUUCUGCAGUGGGUACGGGCAGACUAGAGUGCAGUAGGGGAGACUGGAAUUCCUGGUGUAGCGGUGAAAUGCGCAGAUAUCAGGAGGAACACCGAUGGCGAAGGCAGGUCUCUGGGCUGUAACUGACGCUGAGGAGCGAAAGCAUGGGGAGCGAACAGGAUUAGAUACCCUGGUAGUCCAUGCCGUAAACGUUGGGCACUAGGUGUGGGGGACAUUCCACGUUUUCCGCGCCGUAGCUAACGCAU